AGAACUUAGCAGAGAUGCUUUGGUGCCUUCGGGAACUCUGAGACAGGUGCUGCAUGGCUGUCGUCAGCUCGUGUUGUGAAAUGUUGGGGUUAAGUCCCGCAACGAGCGCAACCCUUAUCCUUUGUUGCCAGCGGUCCGGCCGGGAACUCAAAGGAGACUGCCAGUGAUAAACUGGAGGAAGGUGGGGAUGACGUCAAGUCAUCAUGGCCCUUACGAGUAGGGCUACACACGUGCUACAAUGGCGCAUACAAAGAGAAGCGACCUCGCGAGAGCAAGCGGACCUCAUAAAGUGCGUCGUAGUCCGGAUUGGAGUCUGCAACUCGACUCCAUGAAGUCGGAAUCGCUAGUAAUCGUAGAUCAGAAUGCUACGGUGAAUACGUUCCCGGGCCUUGUACACACCGCCCGUCACACCAUGGGAGUGGGUUGCAAAAGAAGUAGGUAGCUUAACCUUCGGGAGGGCGCUUACCACUUUGUGAUUCAUGACUGGGGUGAAGUCGUAACAAGGUAGGCGUAGCGAG
Molecule: ribosomal RNA, 518 nt
Filed under: uncultured bacterium
Lineage: Bacteria
Description: bacterial SSU rRNA
Rfam family: Bacterial small subunit ribosomal RNA
Source: RNAcentral